CCAUAUGGGAUAUCUGGCUUUCACCCAGAAGGCCCGGGUUCGAUUCCCGGUAUGG
Molecule: transfer RNA, 55 nt
Filed under: Aedes aegypti (yellow fever mosquito)
Lineage: Eukaryota; Metazoa; Arthropoda; Insecta; Diptera; Culicidae
Rfam family: tRNA
About the family: Transfer RNA (tRNA) molecules are approximately 80 nucleotides in length. Their secondary structure includes four short double-helical elements and three loops (D, anti-codon, and T loops). Further hydrogen bonds mediate the characteristic L-shaped molecular structure. tRNAs have two regions of fundamental functional importance: the anti-codon, which is responsible for specific mRNA codon recognition, and the 3' end, to which the tRNAs corresponding amino acid is attached (by aminoacyl-tRNA synthetases). tRNAs cope with the degeneracy of the genetic code in two manners: having more than one tRNA (with a specific anti-codon) for a particular amino acid; and 'wobble' base-pairing, i.e. permitting non-standard base-pairing at the 3rd anti-codon position.
Source: Rfam by way of RNAcentral